AUUGAACGCUGGCGGCAUGCCUUACACAUGCAAGUCGAACGGCAGCACGGGGCAACCUGGUGGCGAGUGGCGAACGGGUGAGUAAUGUAUCGGAACGUACCAUUGAGUGGGGGAUAACGUAGCGAAAGUUACGCUAAUACCGCAUAUUCUCUCCGGAGGAAAGCAGGGGACCGCAAGGCCUUGCGCUCUUUGAGCGGCCGAUAUCAGAUUAGCUAGUUGGUGAGGUAAAGGCUCACCAAGGCGACGAUCUGUAGCGGGUCUGAGAGGAUGAUCCGCCACACUGGAACUGAGGAACGGUCCAGACUCCUACGGGAGGCAGCAGUGGGGAAUUUUGGACAAUGGGGGCAACCCUGAUCCAGCCAUGCCGCGUGAGUGAAGAAGGCCUUCGGGUUGUAAAGCUCUUUCGGCCGGGAAAAAAUCGCAUGGGCUAAUACCCUGUGUGGAUGAUGGUACCGGAAUAAGAAGCACCGGCUAACUACGUGCCAGCAGCCGCCGUAA
Molecule: ribosomal RNA, 498 nt
Filed under: uncultured bacterium
Lineage: Bacteria
Description: partial 16S ribosomal RNA
Rfam family: Bacterial small subunit ribosomal RNA
Source: RNAcentral